This 104-nucleotide microRNA precursor is filed under the name Marmota monax (woodchuck). Lineage: Eukaryota; Metazoa; Chordata; Mammalia; Rodentia; Sciuridae. The record is from RNAcentral.
AGUGAAAUUGCUAGGUCACAUGAUGACUCUCUGUUUAACAUUUUGAGGAACUGAUACAUAUUUUUUCCAAAGGGGCUACACCAUUUUACAUUCCUAUCUGCAAU